GACGAACGCUGGCGGCGUGCCUAAUACAUGCAAGUCGAACGCAGUGGGGACGGGUGAGUAACACGUGGGUAACCUCCCAUCCUCGGGGAUAACCCUUGGCAACAGGUGCUAAAACGAUACUGAUGUAUGGUCCCGCUGUGCAUUAGCUAGUGGGUGAGGUAACGGCGCACCAAGGCCACGAUGCAUAGCCGAGCUGAGAGGGUGAUAGGCCACACUGGGACUGAGACACGGCCCAGACUCCUACGGGAGGCAGCAGUAGGGAAUCUUCGGCAAUGGACGAAAGUCUGACCGAGCAACGCCGCGUGAGUGAAGAAGGUUUUCGGAUCGUAAAACUCUGUUGUUAGAGAAGCGGUAUCUAAACAGAAAGCAACGGCUAACUACGUGCCAGCAGCCGCGGUAAUUC
Molecule: ribosomal RNA, 403 nt
Filed under: uncultured bacterium
Lineage: Bacteria
Description: partial 16S ribosomal RNA
Rfam family: Bacterial small subunit ribosomal RNA
Source: RNAcentral